RNAcentral lists this ribosomal RNA (117 nucleotides) under Lepisosteus oculatus (spotted gar). The record is from RNAcentral. Lineage: Eukaryota; Metazoa; Chordata; Actinopteri; Semionotiformes; Lepisosteidae.
GCCAGCAGCCAUAUCACCCUGCAGCUCUCAACUGGCUGCCCACUGAAGCUAAGCAGGUGUGAGCCUGGUCAGAACCUGGAUGAGAGAUCUCUUGGGAAGCUAUGGUUGCUGCUGGAA